This 429-nucleotide ribosomal RNA is filed under the name Bacillota bacterium. Its description in RNAcentral is "Firmicutes bacterium partial 16S ribosomal RNA". It matches the Rfam family "Bacterial small subunit ribosomal RNA", at positions 355 to 776 of the family's 1533-position model. Lineage: Bacteria; Bacillati; Bacillota. The record is from RNAcentral.
UGGGGAAUAUUGCACAAUGGGCGCAAGCCUGAUGCAGCCAUGCCGCGUGUAUGAAGAAGGCCUUCGGGUUGUAAAGUACUUUCAGCGGGGAGGAAGGCGUUGUGGUUAAUAACCACAGCGAUUGACGUUACUCGCAGAAGAAGUACCGGCUAACUCCGUGCCAGCAGCCGCGGUAAUACGGAGGGUGCAAGCGUUAAUCGGAAUUACUGGGCGUAAAGCGCACGCAGGCGGUCUGUCAAGUCGGAUGUGUAAUCCCCGGGCUCAACCUGGGAACUGCAUUCGAAACUGGCAGGCUAGAGUCUUGUAGAGGGGAGUAGAAUUCCAGGUGUAGCGGUUAAAUGCGUAAAGAUCUGGAGGAAUACCGGUGGCGAAGGCGGCCCCCUAGACAAAGACAGACGCUCAGGUGCGAAAGCGUGGGGAGCAAACAGG